GGGGUGCUCGAGUGGCGAACGGGUGAGUAACACGUGAGUAACCUGCCCUUGACUUUGGGAUAACUUCAGGAAACUGGGGCUAAUACCGGAUAGGAGCUCCUGCUGCAUGGUGGGGGUUGGAAAGUUUCGGCGGUUGGGGAUGGACUCGCGGCUUAUCAGCUUGUUGGUGGGGUAGUGGCUUACUAAGGCUUUGACGGGUAGCCGGCCUGAGAGGGUGACCGGCCACAUUGGGACUGAGAUACGGCCCAG
This 249-nucleotide ribosomal RNA is filed under the name uncultured Actinomycetales bacterium. RNAcentral describes it as "partial 16S ribosomal RNA". It matches the Rfam family "Bacterial small subunit ribosomal RNA", at positions 84 to 334 of the family's 1533-position model. The record is from RNAcentral. Lineage: Bacteria; Bacillati; Actinomycetota; Actinomycetes; Actinomycetales.